Molecule: long non-coding RNA, 261 nt
Organism: Hypanus sabinus (Atlantic stingray)
Lineage: Eukaryota; Metazoa; Chordata; Chondrichthyes; Myliobatiformes; Dasyatidae
Exons: 3
Source: RefSeq, a predicted model, not a curated record
GCAAUAUAAUAAUGCUACACUAACAGCUCCACCACUGCUGUCCCCACAGGAAAGACAUUGCCAAACUGGAGAGGAUGCCUGGAUUAGAGAGCCUGAGAGCUUGGCCAUUUUACAUCUUUAUUUCUGUUUCCGAAGCUUGCAGAAUCUCUGAGGAAUGGUCUCCUUUGGGAUUUUCUCCAGCAAAACAAGUAUGGCAGAGUCAUUGUUUUCUUCAAAUAGACGAAACCUCCAAAGAUUCCAGCUCAAUAAACACCAUCAGUG